GAGGAGGGGGGAAAGUAAGGAGCAACACUCAUAAGAAAAAUACGUUCCAUUUUCCCAUCUUAUAUGUAAUGCAUAACAGUGGGAAUUAUACGCUUGAUCACUGGAAAAGCUUGGGUGCAUGACUGCUUGAUUCACAAUUCCUACUGCCAGUAACUGUGGCCAAGCUACACCUUUCUUCAUAUAAAAGUACAAGUGAUCGAUGUGAAAAAUGCUUUUAAGCGUGAAAAACAUUGCAGAAUAUGUGUUCCAACUCUUGCAAUGUGUUUGUUAGUAUGUACUUUUAUAUUGAAACAAGAGUAUGUACUGUUAUAUUGAAGAUCGGAUGAUAUAGGAGAUAAACAUAAAUAUAAUAUGCAAUAGAUGUGAUGUUUUUUGUUAGUACGUACACAAACAUAAAUAUUUUUUAUUGUAUAUAAUAUGUAAAUAUUGUUUUUAUUGGAGAGAGUAUGGUACUGAUUGAUUUUUGAUCUGGCAAAAAAAUUAGAUUCACAGUUCGCUGCGAGAAUCUUUUUUUUUUCUCGAGGGCUGGGAACCUUAUUGUGUAGUAAUAAAAGAAGAAAUAUAUUAAUUCCAUUUCUAGAAAGUCCAGGUUAAAAG
RNAcentral lists this long non-coding RNA (597 nucleotides) under Setaria viridis. RNAcentral's name for it is "long non-coding RNA (SVIR_LNC004946)". Lineage: Eukaryota; Viridiplantae; Streptophyta; Magnoliopsida; Poales; Poaceae. The record is from RNAcentral.